CGGGGCAUAGCGCAACUUGGUAGCGCGCGGCAAUUGGGGUGCUGAGGUUGUCGGUUCAAGUCCGGCUGCCCCGA
Molecule: transfer RNA, 74 nt
Filed under: Anaerolineae bacterium
Lineage: Bacteria; Bacillati; Chloroflexota; Anaerolineae
Description: tRNA-Pro
Rfam family: tRNA
About the family: Transfer RNA (tRNA) molecules are approximately 80 nucleotides in length.
Source: RNAcentral